UUUAUAUUGCAGAUUAUUAUCAUAGGCUUUAACAAGAAGGGAAAUAAACAUAAAUUGGAAAAAAUAUAGAUUCUGAUAAAUAAAUCCUGAAGCAUAUUUAUAUCCUGAAAUAAGAAUAAGAAGCUGUCAGCUGAAAUUAUUACAAAAUGAUUAUCCUUGGAAUUUGGUUACGGAUUGAAAGCACAUCAUUACAUAGUCUAUAAUCUAUAAUAAUCGAGCAUAAUGCCCGAAGUUCACAUUGUAUCCAUAUCCGAGAAAAAAUUCAUACAAUUUUGCAAACUUUUUUCAUGUUCGCAAAUUUAAAGAAUAAUGUAAGGAGCAAGAUCCUUAAGAUUGCCGCUGCUAUAUAUAUUUUAAAUAUGAUUUGAAGUUUUACGCUUGAUCUUUUUAAAUUACAAGGAAUCCCCGUCAACAGACCCGGAGACUACGUUGGAUUAUUUGGAUGCUUUGAAACUUCUACUUCAAGAGAACAUUAAAAUCAAGGGGAAGAAUUAGAAAGCAGAAAAACGAACUGAGUAUGCAAUAAGAAAACAAUAAAUCACUUUUCUAUAAAAUUUAAA
Musca domestica (house fly) is the source of this 560-nucleotide long non-coding RNA. RefSeq lists it as uncharacterized. The transcript is spliced from 3 exons. Lineage: Eukaryota; Metazoa; Arthropoda; Insecta; Diptera; Muscidae. The record is from RefSeq and is a predicted model, not a curated record.